This 253-nucleotide ribosomal RNA is filed under the name uncultured bacterium. RNAcentral describes it as "partial 16S ribosomal RNA". It matches the Rfam family "Bacterial small subunit ribosomal RNA", at positions 524 to 776 of the family's 1533-position model. The record is from RNAcentral.
UACGAAGGGGGCUAGCGUUGUUCGGAAUCACUGGGCGUAAAGGGCGCGUAGGCGGCUUGAUAAGUCGGGGGUGAAAGCCUGUGGCUCAACCACAGAAUUGCCUUCGAUACUGUCGGGCUCGAAUCCGGAAGAGGUGAGUGGAAUUCCUGGUGUAGCGGUGAAAUGCGCAGAUAUCAGGAGGAACACCAAUGGCGAAGGCAGCUCACUGGGACGGUAUUGACGCUGAGACGCGAAAGCGUGGGGAGCAAACAGG